UGGAAACACUUCUUUAUCAGUUUACAAUUACAUCCAAAAACACAAUUCACUUGUGACACACUUUGUUGUGUGUAAAAGUCCUCAAUGCCCUUUAACUAGAAACCAAGUCACUCUUCUCAAUCGUGACCAAACUGAACAAAACAACAAGUAUCUCAUAUUAAACUUCUAGCUUUACCAAAUUACAAACCCUUAUCCAACAUAAAAAUCCUAAUUUCCCAACUUUCAUCUUAGAGGAGAUGAAAAUUAAAAUCCCUAAUCAAUCUGAAAUCCGAUGACUGUCGUUUCUAUUCAUUUUAUUCAGAGACGACGAAUUUAUUGACGUUGCUGGUAACGAAGUCGUCGCCGUCUUGAUCUGUUCUUUCGAGUCCUCUCUUCACCACCAAACUUUUCUUACCUCUGGUUCCAUCUCCCAGCCAUUGAGUCAUUCAUGGAGAGCCAUGGAUAGGCAUCAUCUGUUUCUUCUCUCUACCUUAUCUCAAAUCUCAAUUUCAAAACCUCUCUCCUAUCUCAAAUCUCCUUCUCUGUUUGUGCAUCCACGCAACCGAUAAGUGGCGUCGUUUUCAAGCCGUUUGUGGAGGUGAAGAAGGAACUCGAUCUCGUGCCUUCAAGUCCGGAGCUUUCGCUUGCUCGACAUAUGUACUCCCUUGAAUGUGAAGCCGCAGUGAAUGAGCAGGUCAAUUAAGCUUCUUUUUAACCUUUUUUGUGUUGUUUUUCAAGGACUCAAGUGUGGAAGAAAGAGACCACGCAAGAUGUUGAUGGAGUAUUAGUCAGCAGGAAAAACGUGGUGGGAGGGUUCAGCUAAAGCCCAUGGUGAUGCCUCAGUCUAAGUUUGAUUACGCUGACAAAGGAGAUGUUGUCUAUGCCAUGGAGUUGGCUCUAUCAUUGGAGAAACUGGUCAAUGCGAAGCUCCUAUACGUUUUCUUCAAAGAUGGGUUCCUAAUAUAACUACUAAGUUCCUCUUCAAAGAUGGGUUCAUGGGCAUUGUGAAGUAAUCAAAUUAUCUCUGAGAAUGCUUUUCUAUAGAUAAACAAUUUAUUGUAAUAAUUAUUUUUACCUUAUAUAUUUUUAAUGUCCAUGUUCACAUUUUUUAUUUUUAAAGAAAUCACAAUUAUAAUUUACUUUUUCAUACACA
RNA transcript from Brassica napus (rape), 1132 nucleotides. It is a transcript of the gene named ferritin-3, chloroplastic, with no coding region annotated. NCBI's taxonomy places the organism in Eukaryota, Viridiplantae, Streptophyta, Magnoliopsida, Brassicales, Brassicaceae. The transcript has 4 exons. The record is from RefSeq and is a predicted model, not a curated record.